This 164-nucleotide ribosomal RNA is filed under the name Actinidia melanandra. RNAcentral's name for it is "5.8S ribosomal RNA". It matches the Rfam family "5.8S ribosomal RNA". Rfam says of the family: 5.8S ribosomal RNA (5.8S rRNA) is a component of the large subunit of the eukaryotic ribosome. Lineage: Eukaryota; Viridiplantae; Streptophyta; Magnoliopsida; Ericales; Actinidiaceae. The record is from RNAcentral.
ACGACUCUCGGCAAGGGAAUAUCUGGGCUCUCGCAUCGAUGAAGAACGUAGCGAAAUGCGAUACUUGGUUGUGAAUUGCAGAAUCCCGGUGAACCAUCGAGUUUUUGAACGCAAGUUGCGCCUUGAAGCCAAUUAGGCCGAGGCACGUCUGCCUGGCCGUCACG